Molecule: ribosomal RNA, 253 nt
Filed under: uncultured bacterium
Lineage: Bacteria
Description: partial 16S ribosomal RNA
Rfam family: Bacterial small subunit ribosomal RNA
Source: RNAcentral
UACAGAGGUCUCAAGCGUUGUUCGGAUUCAUUGGGCGUAAAGGGUGCGUAGGCGGCGCGGUAAGUCGGGUGUGAAAUCUCGGGGCUUAACUCCGAAACUGCAUUCGAUACUGCCGUGCUUGAGGACUGGAGAGGAGACUGGAAUUUACGGUGUAGCGGUGAAAUGCGUAGAUAUCGUAAGGAAGACCAGUGGCGAAGGCGGGUCUCUGGACAGUUCCUGACGCUGAGGCGCGAAAGCCAGGGGAGCGAACGGG